AGUUAACGUUGGCGGCGUGCCUAACACAUGCAAGUCGAACGCGUCCUAAGGGCAACUUUAGGAUGAGUGGCGAACGGGUGAGUAUCACGUGGGUAAUCUUCCUUUAAGUGGGGAAUAAGCUCUCGAAAGGGAGUCUAAUACCGCAUGACAUUCCGGGACACAAGUCCCGUAAUCAAGGCCGCAAGGCGCUUGAAGAUGAGCCUGCGUCCUAUUAGCUAGUUGGUGGGGUAACGGCCUACCAAGGCUCAGAUGGGUAGCCGGCCUGAGAGGGUGAACGGCCACACUGGGACUGAGACACGGCCCAGACUCCUACGGGAGGCAGCAGUGAGGAAUUUUGCGCAAUGGGGGAAACCCUGACGCAGCGACGCCGCGUGGAGGAUGAAGGCCUUCGGGUCGUAAACUCCUGUCAGAGGUGAAGAAUGCCCGCAAGGGUUUGACGGUAACCUCAGAGGAAGCCCCGGCUAACUACGUG
RNAcentral lists this ribosomal RNA (472 nucleotides) under uncultured bacterium. RNAcentral describes it as "bacterial SSU rRNA". It matches the Rfam family "Bacterial small subunit ribosomal RNA", at positions 29 to 507 of the family's 1533-position model. The record is from RNAcentral.